AUAACGGUCCUAAGGUAGCGAAAUUCCUUGUCAGGUAAGUUCUGACCCGCACGAAUGGCGUAAUGAUUUGGGCACUGUCUCAACAGCCCGCCCGGCGAAAUUGUAGUACUGGUGAAGAUGCCAGUUACCCGCAACUAGACGGAAAGACCCCAUGGAGCUUUACUGCAGUUUAAUACUGGGAAUCGGUAAUUCAUGUACAGGAUAGGUGGGAGACUGAGAAGCAUGGCCGUCAGGUCGUGUGGAGUCACCGGUGGGAUACCACUCUUGGAUUGCUGGUUUCCUAACCUGCGGCCCUGAAUCGGGUCGGGGGACACUGUUAGACGGGCAGUUUGACUGGGGCGGUCGCCUCCAAAAGAGUAACGGAGGCGCUCAAAGGUUCGUUCAGCACGGACGGAAAUCGUGCAUUGAGUGUAAACGCAUAAACGAGCCUAACUGCGAGACCGACGGGUCGAGCAGUAACGAAAGUUGGAGUUAGUGAUCCGGUGGUAUGUGAGUGGAAAUGCCAUCGCUCAACGGAUAAAAGCUACCCUGGGGAUAACAGGCUGAUCUCCCCCAAGAGUCCACAUCGACGGGGAGGUUUGGCACCUCGAUGUCGGCUCAUCGCAUCCUGGGGCUGUAUUCGGUCCCAAGGGUUUGGCUGUUCGCCAAUUAAAGCGGCACGCGAGCUGGGUUCAGAACGUCGUGAGACAGUUCGGUCCCUAUCUGUUGCGGGCGUAAGAGAUUUGAAGGGAGCUGUCCUUAGUACGAGAGGACCGGGAUGGACGUACCUCUGGUGCACCAGUUGUCCUGCCAAGGGCAUAGCUGGGUAGCUAUGUACGGACGAGAUAAACGCUGAAAGCAUCUAAGCGUGAAACUCCCCCUAAGAUGAGAUCUCUCAUCCUUUAAGGAGUAAGGACCCAGAAAGACGAUCUGGUUGAUAGGCCGAAGGUGGAAGCGCAGUAAUGCGUGCAGCUGAUCGGUACUAAUAGUCCGAGGGCUUGACCUA
Molecule: ribosomal RNA, 985 nt
Filed under: human gut metagenome
Description: bacterial LSU rRNA
Rfam family: Bacterial large subunit ribosomal RNA
Source: RNAcentral